UACAGAAGGGACAAGUGUUAUUCGACAUAACUGGGUGUAAAACGCAUGAAGGCUGUUAAAAAAGUUAAUAGUGAAAUCCUAUUUUAAACAAAUAGAAGAGCUAUUAAAACUAUUUAGCUAGAAUAUGGAAGAGGAAAACGGAAUUACUUAGGGAGGGUUGAAAUACAUAGAUCUAAGUAGGAACACCAGAGGCGAUAGCGGUUUUCUAGUACAAUAUUGACGCUUAAGUGCUAAAGCGUGGGGAGCAAACAGG
This 253-nucleotide ribosomal RNA is filed under the name uncultured prokaryote. RNAcentral's name for it is "partial 16S ribosomal RNA". It matches the Rfam family "Bacterial small subunit ribosomal RNA", at positions 524 to 776 of the family's 1533-position model. The record is from RNAcentral.